AUGCCUUACACAUGCAAGUCGAGCGGCAGCGCGGGGGCAACCCUGGCGGCGAGCGGCGCACGGGUGAGUAAUGCAUCGGAACGUGUCCUCUUGUGGGGGAUAACCAGUCGAAAGACUGGCUAAUACCGCAUGAGCACGAGAGUGGAAAGCGGGGGACCGUAAGGCCUCGCGCGAGAGGAGCGGCCGAUGCCGGAUUAGCUAGUUGGCGGGGUAAUGGCCCACCAAGGCGACGAUCCGUAGCUGGUCUGAGAGGACGACCAGCCACACUGGGACUGAGACACGGCCCAG
This 288-nucleotide ribosomal RNA is filed under the name uncultured bacterium. Its description in RNAcentral is "partial 16S ribosomal RNA". It matches the Rfam family "Bacterial small subunit ribosomal RNA", at positions 45 to 334 of the family's 1533-position model. The record is from RNAcentral.